RNAcentral lists this ribosomal RNA (1542 nucleotides) under uncultured bacterium. RNAcentral's name for it is "bacterial SSU rRNA". It matches the Rfam family "Bacterial small subunit ribosomal RNA". The record is from RNAcentral.
AGUUUGAUCCUGGCUCAGGAAGUCGUAACAAGGUAACCCGUAGAGUUUGAUCCUGGCUCAGUAAGUCGUAACAAGGUAACCAGUAGAGUUUGAUCCUGGCUCAGGAUAAACGCUGGCGGCGUGCUUCAGGCAUGCAAGUCGAACGAGCGCCAUCCUUCGGGGUGGUUGCGAGUGGCGGACGGGUGAGUAACACGUAAGCAAUCUGCCCGGUAGUGGGGAAUAACUAGCCGAAAGGUUGGCUAAUACCGCAUGUGAUGGCUUGUCCCUGGAUGGGUCAUGAAAGGCGUAAGUCGCUACCGGAGGAGCUUGCGGCCGAUUAGCUAGUUGGCGGGGUAAUGGCCCACCAAGGCUACGAUCGGUAGCUGGUCUGAGAGGACGGUCAGCCACACGGGGACUGAGAUACGGCCCCAACUCCUACGGGAGGCAGCAGCUAGGAAUCUUGGGAAUGGGCGAAAGCCUGACCCAGCAACGCCGCGUGGGCGAUGAAGGCCUUCGGGUCGUAAAGCCCUUUUGCAGGGGAAGAUUAUGACGGUACCCUGCGAAUAAGCCACGGCUAACUACGUGCCAGCAGCCGCGGUAAUACGUAGGUGGCAAGCGUUGUCCGGAUUUACUGGGCGUAAAGGGCGUGCAGGCGGUCUGUUAAGUGCAGGGUGAAAGCUCCCGGCUCAACUGGGAGAGGUCCUUGCAUACUGGCGGACUUGAGGGGGGUAGAGGAAAGUGGAAUUCCCGGUGUAGUGGUGAUAUGCGUAGAUAUCGGGAGGAACACCUGUGGCGAAGGCGGCUUUCUGGGCCCUACCUGACGCUGAGACGCGAAAGCGUGGGGAGCGAACCGGAUUAGAUACCCGGGUAGUCCACGCCGUAAACUAUGGACACUAGGUGUGGGGGGUAUCGACCCCCUCCGUGCCGCAGCUAACGCAAUAAGUGUCCCGCCUGGGGAGUACGGCCGCAAGGCUAAAACUCAAAGGAAUUGACGGGGGCCCGCACAAGCAGCGGAGCGUGCGGUUUAAUUCGUCGCAACGCGAAGAACCUUACCAAGGCUUGACAUGGUAGUGGUACCAAUUCGAAAGAUGCGGGACCCUUCGGGGAGCUAUCACAGGUGCUGCAUGGCUGUCGUCAGCUCGUGCCGUGAGGUGUUGGGUUAAGUCCCGCAACGAGCGCAACCCCUGUUGCCAGUUGUAUUCUCUGGCGAGACUGCCCCGUAAAGCGGGGAGGAAGGCGGGGAUGACGUCAAGUCAGCACGGCCCUUACGUCUUGGGCCACUCGCACGCUACAAUGGUCGGUACAAUAGGUUGCUAAGGAGCGAUCCGGAGCUAAUCCCCAAAGCCGGCCUCAGUUCAGAUUGCAGGCUGAAACCCGCCUGCAUGAAGUAGGAGUUGCUAGUAACUGCCGGUCAGCACACGGCGGUGAAUACGUUCCCGGGCCUUGUACACACCGCCCGUCACGCUAUGGAAGCCGAUAACACCUGAAGUCGCUGAGCUAACCGCAAGGAGGCAGGCGCCGAGGGUGGGAUUGGUAACUGGAGCGAAGUCGUAACAAGGUAAC